Molecule: RNA transcript, 2826 nt
Organism: Populus euphratica (Euphrates poplar)
Lineage: Eukaryota; Viridiplantae; Streptophyta; Magnoliopsida; Malpighiales; Salicaceae
Gene: ALB1
Gene name: ALBINA 1
Exons: 16
Source: RefSeq, a predicted model, not a curated record
CGCACAAGUGACAAAAGAGAGAAAGAGGGCAGGAGAGCAUAAAACAUGAUCAUCAAAUGCGAGGGACCAAACCUAUCUAUAACAGAUCAUGUAACAGAUAAGAAAGGCAAAGCAUAUAACACUCGUGAUUUUCAAGUCAAACACAACAAAACAAUGCCAUUCUCUCCCACAUCUCCUUCUUCUUCUUCACUAUCUACCCUUCAAUCUUCUACUCCUGCUCUUUUUUCUUCACUCAAACCACACUCCCAUCCUUUUCCUCCCUCUUCUUUUUCUUAUGCUUUCAACCCCAAGAAAAGACUCUCCCACACCCGUCGUUUUCGCGUUGUUGCUGCAAAUGUAACUCUCCAGUCUGGCAAUGGUGCUGUUUCUGUUGAUGCUGCUCCUAAUACUUCCACUGAGAAGCUGGACUCAUCUUACUAUGGAAGACAGUACUUCCCUUUAGCUGCUGUUGUUGGCCAGGAUGCUAUCAAAACUGCUCUUUUGCUUGGGGCUAUUGACCGUGAGAUUGGUGGGAUUGCUAUAUCCGGCAGGCGAGGAACAGCCAAAACAGUUAUGGCACGUGGGCUUCAUGAAGUUUUGCCACCCAUUGAUGUAGUCAUGGGUUCAAUAGCAAAUGCAGAUCCAGCAUGCCCUGAAGAGUGGGAGGAUGGUUUGGCUGAACGAGUGGAAUAUGAUUCCAAUGGUAAUAUCAAGACCCAAGUUGUGAGAUCUCCUUUUGUUCAGAUUCCUCUGGGAGUUACUGAGGAUAGGCUCAUUGGAUCUGUUGAUGUUGAGGAGUCCGUGAAAACAGGAACAGCUGUCUUCCAACCUGGCCUUCUUGCUGAAGCUCAUAGAGGUGUUUUAUAUGUUGACGAAAUUAAUCUCUUGGAUGAGGGUAUAAGUAAUUUGCUUCUUAAUGUGUUGACCGAAGGAGUUAAUAUUGUUGAAAGAGAGGGAAUUAGCUUUAGGCAUCCUUGCAAGCCACUUUUGAUUGCUACUUAUAACCCAGAAGAAGGUGCUGUUCGUGAACACUUAUUAGAUCGCAUUGCUAUUAAUUUGAGCGCAGAUCUGCCAAUGAAUUUUGAAGAUCGUGUUGCAGCUGUUGGAAUUGCAACUCAAUUUCAGGAACAUAUUAAUGAAGUAUUUAAACUGGUUGAGGAAGAGACUGAAUAUGCAAAGACCCAGAUCAUUUUGGCAAGGGAGUAUUUGAAGGAUGUUACUAUUGGCAGGGAGCAAUUGAAGUACCUUGUUUUGGAAGCCCUUCGAGGUGGUUGCCAGGGACACAGAGCUGAGCUCUAUGCUGCCCGUGUUGCAAAAUGCCUGACUGCUUUAGAAGGACGUGAAAAAGUGACUGUGGAUGACCUUAAAAAAGCUGUAGAACUGGUUAUUCUUCCCCGUUCAAUAAUAAAUGAGAAACCACCUGAGCAACAAGACCAACAGCCUCCCCCUCCACCACCUCCUCAAAAUCAAGAUUCAGGGGAUGAGCAGAAUGAGGAGGAAGAUCAAAAGGAUGAUGAUAAAGAGAAUGAGCAACAGCAGGAACAAAUACCUGAAGAAUUCAUCUUUGAUGCGGAGGGAGGGUUGGUUGAUGAGAAACUUCUCUUCUUUGCACAACAAGCACAGAGACGCCGAGGGAAGGCUGGGAGAGCAAAGAAUGUGAUAUUUUCAGAGGACAGAGGACGGUAUAUUAAACCCAUGCUCCCAAAGGGUCCUGUGAAAAGAUUAGCGGUGGAUGCAACCCUCAGGGCAGCUGCUCCAUAUCAAAAAUUGCGUAAAGAGAAGGAUACUCAAAAGAGUAGGAAGGUUUAUGUUGAGAAAACUGACAUGAGGGCAAAGAGAAUGGCAAGAAAAGCCGGAGCACUGGUAAUAUUUGUGGUUGAUGCUAGUGGGAGCAUGGCAUUGAAUCGAAUGCAAAAUGCAAAGGGUGCAGCACUAAAGUUGCUUGCUGAGAGUUAUACAAGCAGGGAUCAGGUUGCUAUUAUUCCUUUCCGUGGAGAUGCUGCUGAAGUUCUUUUGCCUCCUUCCAGAUCAAUCUCAAUGGCAAGAAAGCGCCUUGAAAGGCUCCCAUGUGGUGGUGGUUCUCCCUUAGCUCACGGCCUAACAACUGCUGUCAGGGUUGGGUUAAAUGCAGAAAAGAGUGGUGAUGUUGGACGCAUAAUGAUUGUUGCAAUAACUGAUGGCAGAGCCAAUAUAUCACUAAAAAGGUCUACUGAUCCCGAAGCUGCUGGUCCUGAUACUCCAAGACCUUCGGCACGAGAAUUGAAGGAUGAGAUUCUUGAAGUGGCUGGGAAAAUAUACAAGGCAGGGAUGUCUCUCCUCGUCAUUGACACAGAAAACAAGUUCGUUUCAACUGGUUUUGCUAAAGAAAUCGCAAGAGUUGCUCAAGGAAAAUACUAUUACUUGCCGAAUGCAUCAGACGCAGUUAUUUCAGCCACAACGAAAGAAGCUUUAUCAGCCUUGAAGAGUUCAUGAUUUUAACAUUCUUGAUCACCCAAAUGUCGAGGAUUGUAUCAUGUAUCCCACCCGAUCGAGCAUGAAACUGACAACUACAUCAAGCGGUGCCUGACAUGUUGGUUCUGGAGCAGCGUUCUUUCUUUCCAAGGACAAAAUUUGUGAAGACUAGCGAAAGAAAUAUGAGGCAGACAAAUUAGUCUUCACACCUGAAGUUGGCAUGGAAAAUCACAUUGUUCUAGGACCAGACAAAUUUUAUCUUUUUCUUGAGAAGUCAUGUGUGUCAAUCACAGCAGGUUUUGGCUAUUGGAGACUAUAUAGUCUAUUGGAAUUGGGAACCUGUGAUGAAAAAUCAUGAGAUUUCAUAAUCUUGAAAAUCUUUUAAUUUAUCAUCAA